AUUGAACGCUGGCGGCAGGCUUAACACAUGCAAGUCGAGCGGGGAAAAGUAGCUUGCUACUUAACCUAGCGGCGGACGGGUGAGUAAUGCUUAGGAAUCUGCCUAGUAGUGGGGGACAACAUCUCGAAAGGGAUGCUAAUACCGCAUACGUGCUACGAGAGAAAGCAGGGGACCUUCGGGCCUUGCGCUAAUAGAUGAGCCUAAGUCGGAUUAGCUAGUUGGUGGGGUAAAGGCCUACCAAGGCGACGAUCUGUAGCGGGUCUGAGAGGAUGAUCCGCCACACUGGGACUGAGACACGGCCCAGACUCCUACGGGAGGCAGCAGUGGGGAAUAUUGGACAAUGGGGGGAACCCUGAUCCAGCCAUGCCGCGUGUGUGAAGAAGGCCUUUUGGUUGUAAAGCACUUUAAGCGAGGAGGAGGCUACCGAGAUUAAUACUCUUGGAUAGUGGACGUUACUCGCAGAAUAAGCACCGGCUAACUCUGUGCCAGCAGCCGCGGUAA
RNAcentral lists this ribosomal RNA (501 nucleotides) under uncultured bacterium. RNAcentral describes it as "partial 16S ribosomal RNA". It matches the Rfam family "Bacterial small subunit ribosomal RNA", at positions 30 to 523 of the family's 1533-position model. The record is from RNAcentral.